GACGAACGCUGGCGGCGUGCCUAAUACAUGCAAGUCGAGCGGACGGAUGGGAGCUUGCUCCCAGACCGUCAGCGGCGGACGGGUGAGUAACACGUGGGCAACCUGCCUGUAAGACUGGGAUAACUCCGGGAAACCGGGGCUAAUACCGGAUAACUCUUUCCCUCACCUGAGGGAAAGCUGAAAGAUGGCAUCUCGCUAUCACUUACAGAUGGGCCCGCGACGCAUUAGCUAGUUGGUGAGGUAACGGCUCACCAAGGCGACGAUGCGUAGCCGACCUGAGAGGGUGAUCGGCCACACUGGGACUGAGACACGGCCCAGACUCCUACGGGAGGCAGCAGUAGGGAAUCUUCCGCAAUGGGCGAAAGUCUGACGGAGCAACGCCGCGUGAGUGAUGAAGGUUUUCGGAUCGUAAAACUCUGUUGUCAGGGAAGAACAAGUACCGGAGUAACUGCCGGUACCUUGACGGUACCUGACCAGAAAGCCACGGCUAACUACGUG
Molecule: ribosomal RNA, 498 nt
Filed under: uncultured bacterium
Lineage: Bacteria
Description: partial 16S ribosomal RNA
Rfam family: Bacterial small subunit ribosomal RNA
Source: RNAcentral